AAAUUGAAGAGUUUGAUCAUGGCUCAGAUUGAACGCUGGCGGCAGGCCUAACACAUGCAAGUCGAACGGUAACAGGAAGCAGCUUGCUGCUUUGCUGACGAGUGGCGGACGGGUGAGUAAUGUCUGGGAAACUGCCUGAUGGAGGGGGAUAACUACUGGAAACGGUGGCUAAUACCGCAUAACGUCGCAAGACCAAAGAGGGGGACCUUCGGGCCUCUUGCCAUCAGAUGUGCCCAGAUGGGAUUAGCUUGUUGGUGAGGUAACGGCUCACCAAGGCGACGAUCCCUAGCUGGUCUGAGAGGAUGACCAGCCACACUGGAACUGAGACACGGUCCAGACUCCUACGGGAGGCAGCAGUGGGGAAUAUUGCACAAUGGGCGCAAGCCUGAUGCAGCCAUGCCGCGUGUAUGAAGAAGGCCUUCGGGUUGUAAAGUACUUUCAGCGGGGAGGAAGGUGUUGUGGUUAAUAACCGCAGCAAUUGACGUUACCCGCAGAAGAAGCACCGGCUAACUCCGUGCCAGCAGCCGCGGUAAUACGGAGGGUGCAAGCGUUAAUCGGAAUUACUGGGCGUAAAGCGCACGCAGGCGGUCUGUCAAGUCGGAUGUGAAAUCCCCGGGCUCAAC
RNAcentral lists this ribosomal RNA (623 nucleotides) under Salmonella enterica. Its description in RNAcentral is "bacterial SSU rRNA". It matches the Rfam family "Bacterial small subunit ribosomal RNA", at positions 1 to 613 of the family's 1533-position model. The record is from RNAcentral. Lineage: Bacteria; Pseudomonadati; Pseudomonadota; Gammaproteobacteria; Enterobacterales; Enterobacteriaceae.